UCUCCGUUGGUGAACCAGCGGAGGGAUCAUUACAGAGUUAUCUAACUCCCAAACCCAUGUGAACUUACCAUUUGUUGCCUCGGCAGAAGCUACCUGGUUACCUUACCUUGGAACGGCCUACCCUGUAGCGCCUUACCCUGGAACGGCCUACCCUGUAACGGCUGCCGGUGGACUACCAAACUCUUGUUAUUAUAUUGUAAUCUGAGCGUCUUAUUUUAAUAAGUCAAAACUUUCAACAACGGAUCUCUUGGUUCUGGCAUCGAUGAAGAACGCAGC
This 276-nucleotide unclassified non-coding RNA is filed under the name uncultured fungus. Its description in RNAcentral is "sequence contains ITS1, 5.8S rRNA gene". The stretch from base 228 to 276 matches the Rfam family "5.8S ribosomal RNA", at positions 1 to 49 of the family's 154-position model. Lineage: Eukaryota; Fungi. The record is from RNAcentral.